Molecule: long non-coding RNA, 601 nt
Organism: Oncorhynchus keta (chum salmon)
Lineage: Eukaryota; Metazoa; Chordata; Actinopteri; Salmoniformes; Salmonidae
Exons: 4
Source: RefSeq, a predicted model, not a curated record
GCUUUAGCUACAAGGUUGGGGUUUAACUAUCAGGUUAUUGUUGUGAGGCUUUAGCUACAAGGUUGGGGUUUAACUAUCAGGUUAUUGUUGUGAGGCUUUAGCUACAAGGUUGGGGUUUAACUAUCAGGUUAUUGUUGUGAGGCUUUAGCUACAAGGUUGGGGUUUAACUAUCAGGUUAUUGUUGUGAGGCUUUAGCUACAAGGUUGGGGUUUAACUAUCAGGUUAUUGUUGUGAGGCUUUAGCUACAAGGUUGGGGUUUAACUAUCAGGUUAUUGUUGUGAGGCUUUAGCUACAAGGUUGGGGUUUAACUAUCAGGUUAUUGUUGUGAGGCUUUAGCUACAAGGUUGGGGUUUAACUAUCAGGUUAUUGUUGUGAGGCUUUAGCUACAAGGUUGGGGUUUAACUAUCAGGUUAUUGUUGUGAGGCUUUAGCUACAAGGUUGGGGUUUAACUAUCAGGUUAUUGUUGUGAGGCUUUAGCUACAAGGUUGGGGUUUAACUAUCAGGUUAUUGUUGUGAGGCUUUAGCUACAAGGUUGGGGUUUAACUAUCAGGUUAUUGUUGUGAGGCUUUAGCUACAAGGUUGGGGUUUAACUAUCAGGUUA